UUUUUGUUGAUAGAUAGGUAUGCUUUUAGAAUUUUUGAUCAAUAUGUUAUAUCUUGCAGAUAUAUUAUCUAAAACCAACUAUUUUAGGAAAUAUAACAUUUUCGUAGAGAAAUAUUCUUGAUCUGGGAUUGUGAUUUAAAAAUUAAGAUAACAAGAGUUUUUGUUGAUAGAUGGGUAUCCUUUUAGAAUUUUUGAUCAAUAGGUUAUAAUUUUUAAAUAAAUUUUUCAAAACCUGCCAUUUUUGGAUAGUUACCAUUUUGUUGAUAAAUAUUGUAGAUUUGGGAUAGUGAUUUAGAAAUUAGGAUAACAAGAGCUUUUGUUGAUAAAUGGGUAUGCUUUUAGAAUUUUUGAUCAAUAGGUUAUAUUUUUAAAGUAAAAUUUUAGAAACUGCUAUAUUUGGAAAGUUAUCAUUUUGUAGAGAAAUAUUGUAGAUUUUGGAUUGAGAUUUAGAAAUUAGGAUAACAAGAGUUUUUGUUGAUAGAUGGGCAUGCUUUUAGAAUUUUUCAUCAAUAGGUUAUAUUUUUAAAAUAAACUUUUAAAAUUGUGAUUUAAAAAUUAGUAUAACAAGAGUUUUUGUUGAUAGAUGGGCAUGCUUUUAGAAUUUUUCAUCAAUAGGUUAUAUUUUUAAAAUAAACUUUUAAAAUUGUGAUUUAAAAAUUAGUAUAACAAGAGUUUUUGUUGAUAGAUGGGUAUGCUUUUAGAAUUUUUGAUCAAUUGGUUAUAAUUUUUAAUUAAAUUUUCCAAAACCUGCUAUUUCUGGAAAGUUACCAUUUUGUUGAUAAAUAUUGUAGAUUUAGGAUUGAGAUUCAAAAAUUAGGAUAACAAGAGAUUUGGUUGAUAUAUGGGCAUGCUUUUAGAAGUUUUGAUCAAUAGGUUAUAUUUUUAAAAUAAACUUUUAAAAAUUGAUAUAUUUGGAAAGUUAUCAUUUUGUAGAUAAAUAUGUAGAUUUGGAAUUGUGAUUUAGAAAUUCGGAUAACAAUAGAUUUUGUAGAUAAAUGGGUAUGCUUUUAGAAUUUUUGAUCAAUAUUGCGAUUUUGUAGGAAAAUAUUGUAGAUUUGGGAUUGUGAUUUAGAAAUUAGAAUAACAAGAGAUUUUAUUGCUAGAUGGGCAUGCUUUUAGAAUUUUUGAUCAAUAGGCUAUAUUUGUAAAAUAAACUUUUAAAAACUGCUAUAUUUGGAAAGUUAUCAUUUUGUAGAUAAAUAUUGUAAAUUUGAGAUUGUGAUUUUGAAAUUAGGAUAACAAGAGUUUUUGUUGAUAGGUGGGUAUGCUUUUAGAAUUUUUGAUCAAUUGGUUAUAAUUUUUAAAUAUAUUUUUCAAAACCUGCUAUUUUUAGAAAGUUUUCAUUUUUUAGGAAAAUAUUGCUGAUUUGGGAUUGUGAUUCAGAAAUUAGGAUAACAAGAUUUUUUGUUGAUAAAUGGGUAUGCUUUUAGA
Molecule: long non-coding RNA, 1431 nt
Filed under: Brassica napus (rape)
Lineage: Eukaryota; Viridiplantae; Streptophyta; Magnoliopsida; Brassicales; Brassicaceae
Description: long non-coding RNA (BNAP_LNC022278)
Source: RNAcentral